Molecule: ribosomal RNA, 728 nt
Filed under: uncultured Planctomycetota bacterium
Lineage: Bacteria; Pseudomonadati; Planctomycetota
Description: bacterial SSU rRNA
Rfam family: Bacterial small subunit ribosomal RNA
Source: RNAcentral
GCUUGAGCACGUAGGUGGGUUUGUAAGUCAGAUGUGAAAGCCUUCUGUUCAACGGAAGAAUUGCAUCUGAAACUACAAGUCUUGAGUGUAGGAGGGGAGAAUGGAACUUCUGGUGGAGCGGUGAGAUGCGUAGAUAUCAGAAGGAACGCCGGCGGCGAAAGCGAUUCUCUGGCCUAUUACUGACACUCAGUGUGCGAAAGCUAGGGGAGCAAACGGGAUUAGAUACCCCGGUAGUCCUAGCCGUAAACGAUGGGCACUAAGUAGAGGGGAUUACCGAUGUUCUCUCUGCCGUAGCUAACGCAUUAAGUGCCCCGCCUGGGGAGUACGGCCGCAAGGCUAAAACUCAAAAGAAUUGACGGGGGCUCGCACAAGCGGUGGAGCAUGUGGCUUAAUUCGAUGCAACGCGAAGAACCUUACCGGGGCUUGACAUGGUAGAAGUAGGAACCCGAAAGGGUAACGAACGGUAUCCAGUCCGUGACUAUCACAGGUGUUGCAUGGCUGUCGUCAGCUCGUGUCGUGAGACGUUGGGUUAAGUCCCCUAACGAGCGAAACCCUUGUUUUUAGUUACCAGCGGGUUAUGCCGGGUACUCUAGAAAGACUGCCGUCGUCAAGACGGAGGAAGGUGGGGAUGACGUCAAGUCAUCAUGGCCCUUAUGCCCCGGGCUGCACACGUGCUACAAUGGUCGGUACAAACGGAAGCGAAGCCGAGAGGUGAAGCGAAUCCAAGC